Molecule: ribosomal RNA, 541 nt
Filed under: Melcha sp. 2 BFS-2018
Lineage: Eukaryota; Metazoa; Arthropoda; Insecta; Hymenoptera; Ichneumonidae
Description: partial 16S large subunit ribosomal RNA
Rfam family: Archaeal large subunit ribosomal RNA (bases 394-541)
Source: RNAcentral
UCAAAAACAUGUCUUUUUGAAAAUAAUUUAAAGUHUAAUYUGCUCCAUGAAAAAAAUUAAAUAGCUGCAGAAUUUUAACUGUACAAAGGUAGCAUAAUCAAUAGUUUUUUAAUUAAAAGCUGGAAUGAAUGAUUUGAUAAAGUAAAUAUUGUCUCAAAUUUAAUAAAAUUAAAAUUUUUUUUUUAGUAAAAAAACUAAAUUAAAUUUAAAAGACGAGAAGACCCUAUAGAUUUUUAUAUUUUAUUUUAAUAAAAUUUAAAUUAAUAAAUAAUUUUUAAAUGAAAAAUAUUAGGUUGGGGAAAUUAUUAAAUUAAAUUAAUUUUAAUUAGUAAUUACCAAUAAUUAUUGAAUUUUUGAUCUUAAUUAAAAAUUUGGAGAAUAAACUACCUUAGGGAUAACAGCGUAAUUUUUUUGGAGAGAUCUAAUUGAUAAAAAAGUUUGCGACCUCGAUGUUGAAUUAAGAUUAAAUUUUAAUGAAGAAGUUAAAAAUUUUUGGUCUGUUCGACCAUUAAAAUCUUACGUGAUCUGAGUUCARACCGGA